UUUUUUUUUUAUUGCUGAUUCAAUUUCUUUGCUUGUUAUUGGUCUGUUCAAAUUUCCUAUUUCUUCCUGUUUCAGUUUUGGUAGUUUAUGUGUUUCUAGGAAUUAAUCCAUUUCUUCUAGGUUGUCCUAUUUGUUGGCAUACAGUUUUUCAAAAUAUUCUCAUAUAAUUUUUUGUAUUUCUGUGGUGUUGAUUGUUAUUUUUCAUCUCUAUUUAUGGUUUUACUUUUUUGAAUCCUUUCUUUUAUUAUUUCCUUGAUGGCUCUGACUAGAGGUUUAUAAAUUUUAUUGAUUUUUUCAAAGAGCCAGUUCCUGGUUUCAUUAAUGUGUUCUAUUGCUUUUUUGUAGUUUCUAUAUCAUUUAUUUCUGUUCUAAUCUUUAUUAUUUUCUUCCUUUGGCUGGUUUUAGGUUUUGUUUGUUUUUCUUGCAGGGCUGAGUUAGUGGUCAUGAAAUCCUUUAGUUUUUGUUUAUCUGGGAAACUCUUUAUCUCUCCUAUUCUGAAUGACAGCCUUGCUAGGUAGAGUAUUCUUGGCUGCAGAUUUUUCCCAUUCAGCACCUUGAAUAUAUCAUUCCACUUUCUCCUGGCCUGCAGAAUUUCUGUUGAAAAAUCCCCUAUAACCUUAUGAGUUUUCCCUUGGCAUUUAUGGAUUUCUUUUGUCUUGCUGAUUUUAAGAUUUUUUUUCUUUAUCAAUAUUAUUUUCCCAGUUUAAUUACAAUAUGUCUUGGUGUUGGCCUGCUUUUGUUAAUUUUGAUAGACGUUCUUUGUAUGUCCUGGAUCUGAAUAGGUGUUUCCUUCCCCAAAUUAGGGACGUUUUCAGCUAUUCUUUCUUUAGAUAAAUUUUCUGUCCCCUUUUCUCUCUCUUCUCCUGGGACUCCUUAACACAAAGGUCAUUAUGCUCGAUGCCUAUCUUAUUGUUUGAGCUCCCUAAAUCUAUUCUCAUUUUGCUUUUUUUUUCUCUCUCUCUCUCUCUUCUGUUCAGCUUGAUUACUUUCCAUAAUUCUGUAUUCUAGGUCACUAAUUCAUUCCUCUGCUUCUUCCAGCCUACUGUUCAUUCCAUCAAGAGUAUUCUUCAUUUUAUUUAUUGAGCCCUUUAUCUCUGCUAUGUUAUUCCUUAUCUCUGUAUUAAGGGUCUCACUUUUCUGUCUUCUACUCUCUUUAAGGACUAUGACCCAGCUAUCCCUUGCCCUUGGGCUUGCCCACUGCUGAGUCAGCUGACUUUAAAGCUCUGGGCUUCAAACCCCACUGGCUUUAAACACUCAUGGAAUUGCAGAUCCCUGGGUGGCGCAGCGGUUUGGAGCCUGCCUUUGGUCCAGGGCGUGAUCCUGGAGUCCCGGGGUUGAGUCCCACAUCAAGCUCCCUGCAUGGAGCCUGCUUCUCCCUCUGCCUGUGUCUCUGCCCCUCUCUCUGUGUGUGUCUCUCAUGAAUGAAUAAAAUCUUAAAAAAAAAAAA
Molecule: long non-coding RNA, 1447 nt
Filed under: Canis lupus familiaris (dog)
Lineage: Eukaryota; Metazoa; Chordata; Mammalia; Carnivora; Canidae
Description: lncRNA (ENSCAFG00000055695.1, ENSCAFG00805013383.1, ENSCAFG00845008514.1)
Source: RNAcentral